Molecule: ribosomal RNA, 540 nt
Filed under: Bifidobacterium longum subsp. infantis
Lineage: Bacteria; Bacillati; Actinomycetota; Actinomycetes; Bifidobacteriales; Bifidobacteriaceae
Description: bacterial SSU rRNA
Rfam family: Bacterial small subunit ribosomal RNA
Source: RNAcentral
UUCUCCUGGAAAAGGGUGGUAAUGCCGGAUGCUCCAGUUGAUCGCAUGGUCUUCUGGGAAAGCUUUCGCGGUAUGGGAUGGGGUCGCGUCCUAUCAGCUUGACGGCGGGGUAACGGCCCACCGUGGCUUCGACGGGUAGCCGGCCUGAGAGGGCGACCGGCCACAUUGGGACUGAGAUACGGCCCAGACUCCUACGGGAGGCAGCAGUGGGGAAUAUUGCACAAUGGGCGCAAGCCUGAUGCAGCGACGCCGCGUGAGGGAUGGAGGCCUUCGGGUUGUAAACCUCUUUUAUCGGGGAGCAAGCGAGAGUGAGUUUACCCGUUGAAUAAGCACCGGCUAACUACGUGCCAGCAGCCGCGGUAAUACGUAGGGUGCAAGCGUUAUCCGGAAUUAUUGGGCGUAAAGGGCUCGUAGGCGGUUCGUCGCGUCCGGUGUGAAAGUCCAUCGCUUAACGGUGGAUCCGCGCCGGGUACGGGCGGGCUUGAGUGCGGUAGGGGAGACUGGAAUUCCCGGUGUAACGGUGGAAUGUGUAGAUAUCGG